This 387-nucleotide ribosomal RNA is filed under the name uncultured eukaryote. RNAcentral describes it as "SSU rRNA". It matches the Rfam family "Eukaryotic small subunit ribosomal RNA", at positions 587 to 972 of the family's 1831-position model. The record is from RNAcentral.
AGCUCCAAUAGCGUAUAUUAAAAUUGUUGCAGUUAAAAAGCUCGUAGUUGGAUUUCUGGCUUGGUGCGCGCUGUCCGCCGAGGUUUCUCGGUGUGUACAGAAGUGCGCCUGCCAUCCUUCUGGAAAAUGACCCUACCCUUCACUGGGCCGGGGUCACUUCUGGAUCUUUUACUUUGAAAAAAUUAGAGUGUUCAAAGCAGGCUUGCGCUAUGAAUACAUUAGCAUGGAAUAAUAAUUUAGGACUUCUGUUCUAUUUUGUUGGUUUCUAGGAUGGAAGUAAUGAUUGAUAGGGAUAGUUGGGGGUGCUAGUAUUCCGCGGCCAGAGGUGAAAUUCUUGGAUUCGCGGAAGACUAACUUAUGCGAAAGCAUUCACCAAGGAUGUCUUCU